AAGUCGUAACAAGGUUUCCGUAGGUGAACCUGCGGAAGGAUCAUUAACACGUAUCCAACGUUAAACCCCCCGUGCACACAGCGACCUGCUCCCCUCAAUUUCGGUCUUUUGGCAAUCCCUGGUAAAUCAUCGCCGAACAGUUUUGAUUCAGGGACAUCCAAAGGGCCGGGGUAGGGUAUUAAAGUAGUAGUCAAUGCAAAGCAACCUGGUUUCUUUGAAGCAGAAAGUGUGAUGGCGUGAGCCGGAGAACGGACCGAGUGGUAGUUCAAAGGUGCCUUCUGUCGCGCACUGUGGAAAGGAAGACGCUUUACGAGUGACCGGUUCCCCUAGACUCCAUAUUCACCACCACAGUCGCAGGCGAGGUAGGGAAUACGUCCCUACCACCAAAUAAAUACUUGAACAACUGUUAACAAUGGAUAUCUUGGUUCUC
This 430-nucleotide unclassified non-coding RNA is filed under the name fungal sp. Its description in RNAcentral is "partial internal transcribed spacer region". The stretch from base 1 to 46 matches the Rfam family "Eukaryotic small subunit ribosomal RNA", at positions 1786 to 1831 of the family's 1831-position model. Lineage: Eukaryota; Fungi. The record is from RNAcentral.